This 305-nucleotide ribosomal RNA is filed under the name uncultured bacterium. RNAcentral's name for it is "bacterial SSU rRNA". It matches the Rfam family "Bacterial small subunit ribosomal RNA", at positions 334 to 656 of the family's 1533-position model. The record is from RNAcentral.
UGUUCCUACGGGAGGCAGCAGUGGGGAAUAUUGCACAAUGGGCGAAAGCCUGAUGCAGCGACGCCGCGUGAAGGAUGAAGUAUUUCGGUAUGUAAACUUCUAUCAGCAGGGAAGAAAAUGACGGUACCUGACUAAGAAGCCCCGGCUAACUACGUGCCAGCAGCCGCGGUAAUACGUAGGGGGCAAGCGUUAUCCGGAUUUACUGGGUGUAAAGGGAGCGUAGACGGCGAUGCAAGCCAGCUGUGAAAGCCCGGGGCGCAACACCGGGACUGCAUUUGGCACUGGGUGGGUGGAGAGUCGGAGUG